UAUAUAUAUAUAUAUAUAUAUAUAUGUUCUCAUAAAAGGUUCCUUACAAAAGGUUGCUUUAUUGUGAAUGUGCUGAACAUGUUACUUCUGGUUGAGUGCUUAAAAAAAAUAAAACAUCAUAAAUCAUAAAUGCGCUGUAUUACAUAACAAUUUACCUUUCGCACUUUUUCAGUUUUUCUCUCCGUGCAUAUUCAUCGAUCCAGUCAUGUGUCCUUACUCAAACGUUCACACACAAGACGGUAGAGUGCCGAGAGAAUAUCGAGGGAUUUUCACCUAUCAAAGUGGAUAUAAAAACGAUGGGAUGCGUUUUCUAGCUUUUCGUGGUGGAGCGUAGCGCGUGUUAGCGGCACAGAAAAGAGACAGGACCAUCAGCUGGUUCGUGAAGGAGAGCGAGAGACGGACAGAUGACGACCGGCACACGUUUCGAGCCCCGGGUAGGAACAAAAGCGGAAAAAGUAGUCAGAGGGCAUGAAAGCUCCAUGUCUAAGCCGUUCCUGUGCGUCCCGCAUCGCUGGCGCACUUUAGAAACAUGGUGGUUGUCAGCCACGACUAAACACCAUUAACUCAAGUUUCCACACAUCCAUCACAUUAGCUCCAUUAGAGGAAGGCCCGAAUGACCGCAGAAUAAAUCAAAAACUGGUCUGGGCUCUAAAUAUAUUCAAGGCCAACCUGCUACAUAGCAGUACGCUUGUUACUGGAUCCAGGUGAACGUGUUAAGAAAAAUGCAGAUUGUAGAUUUUCCACCAAAUCGAAAUGAGCCGUGAUUAAUAAAUAAUAAAAGUUGGACGACGUCCUAAUAUUACAAGUAGGUUUUUCAUUACAUUAUGUUAAUUAGAGGAAGUCUGAAUGAACGCACGCAAUCCCCAAAGCAAAAAUAUUCAUAUUUCCUUAGUAGUUUUCUUAAAUAACCAGAAAUGGGGGGGGGGGGGAUAGACGACACACACACCAACAACCGAAAUGUUCCUCAGGCAUUACUGUAGCUCAUACGCGCAAUCUAGUGUAUAAAAUGCAAAGUAAAAGAAAAAUCUACAUGCAAAUGAAUAAAUCUGACAUUAAACUCUUUAUUUUUUCCCCACAUGGAUAAAUUCUUUGCUCCACGAAGAUCCGUCGCUUAACUGAAUGACGGAGCAACAAAAACAAAUUCCACGGUAGAUGUCAUACGGCUUUAAAAAAAAAAAAAAAAAUUGUUCAUGAAGUAAUAAUCUUUUUAGCUUAGCAUGCUUUGCAAGAACAUUUAUAAUAAAUAUAUAGUUACGAUUGCGCUAUAUGUUUGUCAUUUUGUUUGAUCUUAAAAACAGACUCGACUAGUUUAUACAUUACACGGCGGCAAAAACGAGAGAGAAUACGUUUCGAUACGAGGUCGGCUACUUCUACCGGGAAAGAAAAAAAAAACACGCUUGACCGAAGGUGGCUACGUCGAGGAUACUGACCUAAUAAAUGAAAAGCGAUCCAAUUGAAUUAUAAACAUAUUGUAAAAAAUGAUCGAUUGAAACAGGAAAGCAAAUACGAUGAUUUCAUGAUUUUUAAUAUCACUGUUCCAGCGCUAACGUAAUAUCCGCAGUAUCCGGCACACAUCCACAGACUCGAGCGGACAGACUGCUGGAGCACCUAAGGAUGCCACUACUAAUAAGAGGAGGUUAAAAUAAAAAAAAAUAAUAAUAAAAAAAGAAAACUACGAAUGCAAGUCCUCCCCUAGGGUUUAUAAUGUCCAGAGGCACUACUCAAGGUGUCAUAUUCACUCGGGCUAACGCUGCCCUCCCCUCCAGCGACGGACUGUGGAUCCAUAAUGACGGUGUCACUUGGAAUCGCCCUCCCUCUUUUCCCACUGCACAUCCCACAUCCCACAUCCCACACGCAUUCAUUCAUGUGCAUGAAGCACCCACAGAGACACGCGCAUUACAGCACGAGUCCCGCCGUUACACGAGCUCUAAUGUCAACAUUACCUCACUCACCUAGUGCAUAGCUGACUAAUGGGCUAUUGUCACUCGCAACGGUUCAAAUGCUAACAAAAUAAACAGCUGGAAUCGGCCUUGUUUAGAAAGGGACGUUAUAAUGGGUGAAGAGAGGCGCGGGAUCCGGCGGUGCCACUUUCAUAUGUAAAUCCGCAGUUCAUUCAGGCUAAAUGACGGUGGGCGAGACGUAAACCAAAUUAAUUACGAUCGCAAACAAAAACGCCAUUCAAAUACGAUGACCGAACGCACUCCAUUACACGCCGAGAAUACGGGUGCAGCACGGAUUCUUUUAAAGUGUCAAUAUGAAUCUGCGAUCAUUUCGGUCCAACAUAUUAGUGCGUAUAGAAAGCCUUCGCGUGAUGUCUUUCAUCGUGUGCUUAAUAUUCUCCAAUUGUGAGGAACUUAUACUAUUUUAAUACGCGAUUCACUUAAUCAAGCUUAAAGCAAGCGUGAGGAAGUACGCAUGCGGCGUGUGUGUGAGCGGAGCUGCAAAAGAAAAAUGUCAAUUUAAUUGUUGUUAGAGUCAAAGAUUUAAAAAAAAAAAAAAAUAAUAAUUAAUAAUAGUUUAACAGUAAAUCAAGCCUCAAUAACAUGAACAUUAUUUUUAAUAUCUUAAUGUUAUAAUACAAACGUUUUGUUGUUGUUGAUGUAAAUUAAGAAUCCGUUUAUCGAAUAUUUGGCAUGUAGACCACUUGACCAUAUUUAAUUCUUUUUUUUUGUUUGUUUGUUUGUUUUUUGUUAGUGCCAAAGACGUACUUUCAUUCUAACGCAUUAAACCAUCUUCACAUCCUUUGAUGAUAAUGGUCCUUGAUAUUGACUAAUGUUAUUCAUUUACACUAAUUUAAAACACACACACACACACACACACACGAUUCACUUGAUCCAGCCUUAAAGAAGUGUACGAACGUCAGAAAGGUGGGUUUUAAACGCAAGCUGAACUGAGAAUCCCUUUCCCAAUUUAUAAAUGGGCGAUUCAGUCGUGUCAUUUUGGUCUAUUUUAGGUAACAUAUUAUUCAAUUACUUAAUCAACUUGCGUCCCGAAGAAGUAUUUUUACACUUAAGUUCAAAUUAUAAAAAUCAUUCACAUUCUUUGAUGCGAACUGUCCUCAUCAUUGAUCGAUUGGUGUUCAUUUUUUAAAUAAUUUAACACACAAGAUUCAAAGAAGCAUCAGAAUAAUAAGAACAUAGGUGUCAGAAAAGUGUUUCAGGUUCAAGGCAGCAGUAAAAGCGGCUAGUUUUUACAAAUGAACGCCGUUUUCAUUUGACUCGCCCACGUAUAAUUAGAGCUGCAAUCGAGUUGCUUUUUUUUUUUUUCCUUUUUAAAAUGUGGACUGAAUUAAGAAUCAGGUUUUAUUACUUUAUGAAUUCUACCUUUGGUAAACAUUUUUUGCUAGGGACAAAUUUCAUUCUAACAACCUAUAGCAAGUAAAAUGUGAACUGAAUUAAGAAUCACUUGGUUGACUAUUUCAAGAGUUACACCAUUUAGUUGUUACUAAAUUGAAUUCAGAUUAUUCAAAUUCGAUUUAUACUACGUCAUACCCUAAAGGCGGGUCAGAAUCUGAUAAUCAGCUGUGUUUAUGACCAGAGUUGCAGUCAAGGUGAUUUUUAAAUGCAAAGUUUGUUUACUAGACAUUUAGCCAGUUCAUUUGGUUUGUUAUAUAUAUAUAUAUAUUUUUUUUUUAACUUGUGGUCUGUAGUCCAUGUGUGUGCUUCUAUGUGACAGACUGUGUGUGUGUGUGGACUGGAAGGAAGAAAACAAAAAACAACAACAACAAAAAAAAAACCCCAACUCUGAACACACAAAAGGCUCUACUGUCUAUAAAGGAACAACACAUUCUCAAAGACACUCAGGUUCAUGAACGAGUGAGUAAACGAGCGUCCCGUCUGCCUUUCCAUUGCAAUGUUUCUCUUUUAAAUGAGGCUAAUGGAGAAACAACAGAGUGUCCUCAUUCGAAAUGACUGUAAGGCAAAACCCAUUUACCUCAUUCUGGAUAAUAGAUCACAAUAUUACUGUCACUCAUCACAUGGUACAUUAGUAAGAUGUUUGUAAAAAAAAAACACACACAAAAAAAAUCCCCUCAUAACAUGAUAUUAUAAAAUGUGCUAGUACACAAGGCAUUGCCUUAUAAUUGACAGUUUAUUCAAUUACAAACGGGCUAUUUAACUGACACAUAUAUAUAUAUAUAUAUAUAUAUAUAUAUAUAUAUAUAUAUUUUAAAUUUAUAUCCACUUUAUUCAAUGUUCGAAAACGACGAUAAGCAAACAUAAUGAGAAAUGAAUCAGCAAAGACUAGAAGAUUUGGUCAAGGAAGCAGGUUUUUAAACAUGAGCAGCUACUUCGAGUAGUUCAUUAUUUUUCAAAAUGAAAAAACACAUGCCUGACACAUGAUUAACACAAUCGUAAACUAUAAUGUAAGGUGGCAGGGCAUUGAUAAUACGUACUCCAUAUCCAGCAGGACGAAUCUUAUUUGGUGCAAGCCGUGCGAUUGGGCUGGCAGGAGCCUCGCACCCUGAGGUGAGAUUAUGAAGGAGGUAUGCAUGACCAAAAAAAAAAAAAAACAAAAACAAAAAAACGCUUUGGACUCGACCGACGUGUUUCUUUUGUCCCAAGGGCUGAACUAUUCAUAAACUGUCUGUUUUUUUUGUUUUGUUUUGUUUUUUAAAGCUUGUGGAUCUAAAUUACAGAUAAUGGAAUUACUAUUAAAAUCUCUCAUCUUACAAUGCGGAGAUAAUUCAUUUAUUCGUUCUUUUUCCUUUCAUUUUCUGGCCCCUUAAACAGAAAUUGAGAGCAUGGGAGAAAAAUCGUAACGUCGUGUGUUACGUUAAGCCGACUUAAUUACCGUCAGGGUUUUUUUUUUUUUUUUAAAUAAUUUUUUUUUUUUUAUGGUUUUGACAGAAAAGGGGAAUUCAAAUGCAUGGAAAUGUUCUGAUUAAAAACCUGAAUUAAAUGGGUCGGAAACAUUUCUGCAUGAUCCUUCAGGCCAGGCAGGGGAAAGAAAAAAAAAAAAAGAAUCAAAUGAAACAGAAGAAGGAGAAAGGAAAAAAGAAGGUUAGAGAAAUAACAGUGAAGCGAAGUGACGUUUGUGGUCGGUCUUUGAGAAUGCCUCGUCGUCGUUCAGAGAGACAGAGUGUGUGUGUGUGUGUGUGUGUGUGUGUGUCUCAGAGAGAGAAGCCGUGGAAUGUGCUUUGCUUUUCAUUUCUCCUCAGCACUUGGGCCCGGGUGGUCAGGGGUCAGGCCAAGCAGGCCGCUAUUCAUGGCCAGAUCAAGUUUAUGUGAGAAUCUGCUCCUCCUUUGGCCUCCAUUAGCAUAUCAAUGCUUAAUAAAAUCGCUGCGUGAACGUGUGAGAUCCCGUCACCCAGGAAGUCAUGCUGAGAGACUUUGGCUUGGGAAAAGAAAAAAAAAAAAAAAAUCCCUCUUUGCUUUGUGUUCGGAAUAG
Molecule: long non-coding RNA, 5388 nt
Organism: Ictalurus punctatus (channel catfish)
Lineage: Eukaryota; Metazoa; Chordata; Actinopteri; Siluriformes; Ictaluridae
Source: Ensembl